This 253-nucleotide ribosomal RNA is filed under the name uncultured bacterium. RNAcentral's name for it is "partial 16S ribosomal RNA". It matches the Rfam family "Bacterial small subunit ribosomal RNA", at positions 524 to 776 of the family's 1533-position model. The record is from RNAcentral.
UACAGUGGUCUCAAGCGUUGUUCGGAUUCCUUGGGCGUAAAGGGUGCGUAGGUGGCGAUGUAAGUCUGGUGUGAAAUCUCGGAGCUUAACUUCGAAAUUGCAUUGGAUACUGCGUUGCUUGAGGAUUGUAGAGGAGAGUGGAAUUCACGGUGUAGCAGUGAAAUGCGUAGAUAUCGUGAGGAAGACCAGUUGCGAAGGCGACUCUCUGGGCAAUUCCUGACACUGAGGCACGAAGGCGAGGGGAGCAAACGGG